GUAACAUUGCCAAAACUGCUGAAGAAAUGUUAACAUCUGCUUCCAAGUUAGCGUAAGUAGUGUAGUGGGUUGAACGGUAGUCCACCCAAAAGGUAUGUAUACUCAGAACCUGUGAAAGUAACCUAUUCUUUUUUUAAAAAAAGUCUUUGCAGAUGGAAUUAAGGAUCUUGAGAUGAAAUCAUUCUGGAUGAUCCAGGUGAGCCCUAAAUCCUAUGACAGGUGUCAUUAUAAGACAGAGAGGAGGAGACACAGAGACAUGGAAGAGAAGGCCAUAUGAAGACGAAGGUGGAGAUGGAGUGCUGUGGCCACAAGGAAAGCUGACAGCCACCAGAAGCUGAAAGGAGCAAGGAAACAUUGUCCCCCAGAGCCUUCAGAGGGAGUGUGGCCCUGUGGACACCUUGAUUUUGGACUUCUGGCCUCCAGAACUGUUUCACAGCCGCCUCCAAAGCAGUGCAAUCCAGAGGAAGGACAGAGAAGUUAUGAAGGAUGUGUUCACCCACGGGAAGUCGCCAGGCAAUGGACAGGCACACUCAGGACCCAUCGGGACAGAUGCAGCACAGUGCAAAGCCAGCAAUGGGAGGAAGAGCCUCACUUCUCAUCGCUUUUGCACAACAGUCCUGAGCUCUGCUUGGAUUGGCCCGCUUGUGAACUAAUCACUAAAACAAAAGACGCGAGAAUACCGUGUUUGAACAACUUGGAUCUUUGGGAGGCAUGUCGUAAGAUUGUACUUCCUGACCCCUGUGACCAGUGGGGACCUGUGCCUAGUUGACAGUGGAAGGAACAUGUAACUUCCUAGGUGAGAGCUUUUAAUUACUGAGCUGACCCCUUUCAGGGCUCUCUAUUUCAGGGUAAGGUGAUUAUCGACGUUUGAGGUGGAACUCCUCCAUCAGCCUGGAUAUCCAAGAGACCAUGGUGAAAAGAGGACCUUGUUGAUAUGAUGUCCAUGUG
This is a long non-coding RNA of Rhinopithecus roxellana (golden snub-nosed monkey), 948 nucleotides long. RefSeq lists it as uncharacterized. The record is from RefSeq and is a predicted model, not a curated record. The transcript has 4 exons. Lineage: Eukaryota; Metazoa; Chordata; Mammalia; Primates; Cercopithecidae.